ACAGAGGUCCCAAGCGUUGUUCGGAUUCACUGGGCGUAAAGGGUGCGUAGGCGGUAGGGUAAGUUUGAGGUGAAAUCUCCGGGCUCAACCCGGAAAAUGCCUUGAAGACUAUCCUGCUAGAGGAUCGGAGGGGAGACUGGAAUUCUCGGUGUAGCAGUGAAAUGCGUAGAUAUCGAGAGGAACACCAGUGGCGAAGGCGAGUCUCUGGACGAUUCCUGACGCUGAGGCACGAAAGCCAGGGGAGCAAACGGGAUUAGAUACCCCGGUAGUCCUGGCCCUAAACGGUGCGCACUUGCUGUGGGCGGAUUCGACCCCGUCCGUGGCGAAGGAAACCCGAUAAGUGCGCCGCCUGGGGAGUACGGUCGCAAGAUUA
This 373-nucleotide ribosomal RNA is filed under the name uncultured bacterium. RNAcentral's name for it is "bacterial SSU rRNA". It matches the Rfam family "Bacterial small subunit ribosomal RNA", at positions 525 to 896 of the family's 1533-position model. The record is from RNAcentral.